UAGGUACCCUCAAUGGCUCAGUAGCCAGUGUAGAUCCUGUCUUUUGUAAUCAGUAGCUACAUCUGGCUACUGGGUCUCUGAUGGCAUCUUCUA
Molecule: microRNA precursor, 93 nt
Filed under: Oryctolagus cuniculus (rabbit)
Lineage: Eukaryota; Metazoa; Chordata; Mammalia; Lagomorpha; Leporidae
Description: microRNA 222 (ENSOCUG00000018016.3)
Rfam family: mir-221 microRNA precursor family
Source: RNAcentral